AAGCACUUUAUUUGAUUUCCUUCGGGACUGAUUAUUUUGUGACUGAGUGGCGGACGGGUGAGUAACGCGUGGGUAACCUGCCUCACACUGGGGGAUAACAGUUAGAAAUAGCUGCUAAUACCGCAUAAGCGCACGGUUCCGCAUGGCUCAGUGGGAAAAACUCCGGUGGUAUGAGAUGGACCCGCGUCUGAUUAGGUAGUUGGUGGGGUAACGGCCUACCAAGCCAACGAUCAGUAGCCGACCUGAGAGGGUGACCGGCCACAUUGGGACUGAGACACGGCCCAAACUCC
Molecule: ribosomal RNA, 290 nt
Filed under: uncultured Lachnospiraceae bacterium
Lineage: Bacteria; Bacillati; Bacillota; Clostridia; Lachnospirales; Lachnospiraceae
Description: partial 16S ribosomal RNA
Rfam family: Bacterial small subunit ribosomal RNA (bases 52-290)
Source: RNAcentral